RNAcentral lists this ribosomal RNA (262 nucleotides) under Enterobacter hormaechei. RNAcentral describes it as "partial 23S ribosomal RNA". It matches the Rfam family "Bacterial large subunit ribosomal RNA", at positions 1101 to 1362 of the family's 2925-position model. Lineage: Bacteria; Pseudomonadati; Pseudomonadota; Gammaproteobacteria; Enterobacterales; Enterobacteriaceae. The record is from RNAcentral.
UUGGCUUAGAAGCAGCCAUCAUUUAAAGAAAGCGUAAUAGCUCACUGGUCGAGUCGGCCUGCGCGGAAGAUGUAACGGGGCUAAACCAUGCACCGAAGCUGCGGCAGCGACACUAUGUGUUGUUGGGUAGGGGAGCGUUCUGUAAGCCGUUGAAGGUGUGCUGUGAGGCAUGCUGGAGGUAUCAGAAGUGCGAAUGCUGACAUAAGUAACGAUAAAGCGGGUGAAAAGCCCGCUCGCCGGAAGACCAAGGGUUCCUGUCCAA